AUUGAACGCUGGCGGCAGGCCUAACACAUGCAAGUCGAACGGUAGCACAGAGAGCUUGCUCUCGGGUGACGAGUGGCGGACAGGUGAGUAAUGUCUGGGAAACUGCCCGAUGGAGGGGGAUAACUACUGGAAACGGUAGCUAAUACCGCAUAACGUCGCAAGACCAAAGUGGGGGACCUUCGGGCCUCACACCAUCGGAUGUGCCCAGAUGGGAUUAGCUAGUAGGUGGGGUAAUGGCUCACCUAGGCGACGAUCCCUAGCUGGUCUGAGAGGAUGAACAGCCACACUGGAACUGAGACACGGUCCAGACUCCUACGGGAGGCAGCAGUGGGGAAUAUUGCACGAUGGGCGCAAGCCUGAUGCAGCCAUGCCGCGUGUAUGAAGAAGGCCUUCGGGUUGUAAAGUACUUUCAGCGGGGAGGAAGGCGGUGAAGUUAAUAACUUCACCGAUUGACGUUACCCGCAGAAGAAGCACCGGCUAACUCCGUGCCAGCAGCCGCCGUAA
This 504-nucleotide ribosomal RNA is filed under the name uncultured bacterium. RNAcentral describes it as "partial 16S ribosomal RNA". It matches the Rfam family "Bacterial small subunit ribosomal RNA", at positions 30 to 523 of the family's 1533-position model. The record is from RNAcentral.